RNAcentral lists this ribosomal RNA (494 nucleotides) under uncultured bacterium. RNAcentral's name for it is "partial 16S ribosomal RNA". It matches the Rfam family "Bacterial small subunit ribosomal RNA", at positions 28 to 507 of the family's 1533-position model. The record is from RNAcentral.
GACGAACGCUGGCGGCGUGCUUAACACAUGCAAGUCGAACGGUGAAGCGCCUUCCUUUUUGGUGGGUGUGGAUGAGUGGCGAACGGGUGAGUAACACGUGAGUAACCUGCCCCCUUCUUCUGGAUAACCGCAUGAAAGUGUGGCUAAUACGGGAUAUUCUGGGCCUGUCGCAUGAUGGGUCUGGGAAAGAUAUUGUUUCGGUGGGGGAUGGGCUCGCGGCCUAUCAGCUUGUUGGUGGGGUGAUGGCCUACCAAGGCGGUGACGGGUAGCCGGCCUGAGAGGGUGGACGGUCACACUGGGACUGAGACACGGCCCAGACUCCUACGGGAGGCAGCAGUGGGGAAUAUUGCACAAUGGGCGCAAGCAUGAUGCAGCGACGCCGCGUGAGGGAUGGAGGCCUUCGGGUUGUGAACCUCUUUCGCCAGUGAAGCAGGCCUGCCUCGUUUGUGGGUGGGUUGACGGUAGCUGGAUAAGAAGCGCCGGCUAACUACGUG